AAUCAAGUCUAUUUUUUCCGUUUCUCGAAGGAAAUUCAAAUUUUCAUAUGCCAUGGAAGUAUUUCAAAGUGCAUUGUAUUUACUUACUUAUACGGAAUAUAACCACGAAAAGGUAAAAUAGUAAUUUUAAUAACACUUUGAAACUGGAUAUAUAGUCUCAUUUGACUCUUAUCAGUAGGUAAGCUCUCCUCACGCGGCUUGUACCGGUUCUCACUCACUCGCUUCCUCUGCUUAUAGUAAGGUUUUGAGACGUGGGUGGGACGUAGGGAGAAGAAUGAGCAAUGGCUGGUGCAGGGAAGAGCGUGCAGGGGGAAGGUCAUCCUCAACCGUUCACCUUUAUUCUCCCUUGUCCUAGCUCUGUUUUCUGUUCAUUCUAGUCACUAUAUAUCGGCAAUGUUAAUUGGAAAUCGCAAUAGUACAGUUUUAAUCUAUUUGUAGGAUUAUUCUCGUUUCAUCAAUUCAUUAUGUAAGAAAGAUGGUCUUGUUAACGCUUAGGUUUAUUACAAGAAGCAAGUAUCUUAAAUCUAAGAAUAUUAUGUAUGUCUCAGAAUUAAUUCAUAUUUCUUCUCUUGUAUGAAUAUCUAUGUCAAUAUAAUAACCAGUAUGAAUAUUCUUCAAAUGUUAGGUCAUCGUCACAGUUCAUUUCAUUAUCUUGACACCCAGCUUCAUAAUCAUUAUAUGUAUUAAUCUUGAUAUAAAUAAUGAUUAAUCUUAACAUCUUCGCGAAAUUAAGCAUCUUACCAAACUUGAAUCCUAUUUGUUUCGGAAUGAAUUCACACUCUCCCGCUUCUAAAGAGGAUUUUAUAUCAUCUUCUGACAUUAGUGGUUUAGAAAAAAAAGCCUGUUUGUAAAGAUUAUAUUUAUUGUUCCGGGACCAGCCUUUUCAUACAUUUUUCUUAUUUGAGUUACAGUCGGUCUUAUAUAUAUAUAUAUAUAUAUAUAUAUAUAUAUAUAUAUAUAUAUAUAUAUAUAUAUAUAUGUAUAUAUAUUUAUAUAUCUAUAUAUCUAUAUAUAGAUAUAUAGAUAUAUAUUUCGUUAAUAAUAAUAAUACGGAUGAUCAUAUACUUUUCGGACGAUGGUUGGACGUAAAGGCGUCUUUUCAGCAAUGACAUAUAUAUAUAUAUACAUAUAUAUAUAUAUUGUCACGGGCCGCGUUUCGUAAUGGGUCAUUCAUAGUUGCCGCGUUCGUGAAGAUGAUUAUUAUUUUUUUUUUUUUUUGUUACGAAUUCAUUUUCAUUUCUGUUCCUCAAUGGAAGUUCCAUACGAUCUUUGAUAUCAAGUAUUGUCUAAUCUUUAAUGAGUUGUUUGCAACUGAAUGCAUUUAUGACCAUUUUCUUACAUCAAUGCUUCGGUAAUUUUAUUGUCUUUUUUGUCUUUCUUUCGUUUUUUUUUUUUUUUUAUUAAAUUCUAUCAAUAUAAUCAAUAUAUACAUUCUUAACAUUUUACUUUUACGUUUCUGCUGUUUUGCAUUCUUAUAUUAAUGCAAUCACCAAUAUGUUCGCAAAUAUCAAUUUCCUCAUCAUGUAACCCAGUUAUAUCAUAUUGCACAUCCAAGAUGCAUUUAAUGAUAAUAAUAAUCACUAUUUUGGGACUGCUUCUUAAGACUGCAAUGAUCGUUGCGAGGGUCCGAAUUCACUCUCAUUUUCUCGGUCGUAGAGUAUAUAUAUUUUUUUCGUCGAGCAAGUACCAUUAAUCUGCCCUUAAUGAUGAUAAUGAUACGGGUGAUCAAUUAUCAUUUUGUGACAGUGAUGAAUGGGAAAGGCCUUCUUCCAAAGAUUAGAAUUGUCGGGACGUGACGCGUUUCGUAAUGGGAAUCGUCGUUGGGUCUUGGCUAAGCUCUUCGUCAAGCAUGUUACUGUUAAGCUUAAAAGAUAAUAUGUGUGUUGAUAUAGAUAAUGAUUUGCUUUCAUUCUCGCUCAUAUAUAUAUAUAUAUAUAUAUAUAUAUAUAUAUAUAUAUAUAUAUAUAUAUAUAUAUAUAUAUGUGUGUGUGUGUGUGUGUGUGUGUGUGUGUGUGUGUGUGUGUGUGUGUGUAUGUGCGUGUGUGUGUGUGUGUAAGAAAUGCUGCCUUCGUAAAGAUUGGAUUUAUUGUUACGAUUUCAUAUCUAUUCCCAUUUCUUAAUGGAAGUUACAUUGAUAAUUCUGUUAUUUUGUCAUUGUUCUAUCAUUUUGUUAUCCUUAUUGUAUCCUUAUCCUUAUCUUUUUAACCCCUUAACCUAUAAAGAGUUCAAAACCGUUGCUUGUUAUGAAACUCAAAAGACCUCAUUAAUCCGAAUCAUAACCUUUAUAAACAAAAUUCUCGUUACAGUGGUAUUAUAAUUGUAUAAAUCACAAUUAAUGUCACGUAUACUCUCUCUUUAUAGCAUCUGAUCUCACUGUUAUAAACUCAACUUUGUAAUCAAGUCCUAUGUAUUUUAGCGUCGCUUAUAGACCAGGUUCUCAAUAUAACCGAAGUGUGAACUGGUUAUAUCUUAUUAUUAGUAUUAUUAGUAUUGAUAUCGUUAUUAUUGUUAUUAUUACUAUCAUUUGUAUAAGUCAAAAAAACUUUAUAAACAUGUUUUCAUCA
This 2564-nucleotide long non-coding RNA is filed under the name Penaeus japonicus. RNAcentral describes it as "uncharacterized LOC122248884". The record is from RNAcentral. Lineage: Eukaryota; Metazoa; Arthropoda; Malacostraca; Decapoda; Penaeidae.